This 460-nucleotide ribosomal RNA is filed under the name uncultured bacterium. RNAcentral describes it as "partial 16S ribosomal RNA". It matches the Rfam family "Bacterial small subunit ribosomal RNA", at positions 338 to 795 of the family's 1533-position model. The record is from RNAcentral.
CCUACGGGUGGCUGCAGUGAGGAAUAUUGGUCAAUGGCCGGAAGGCUGAACCAGCCAAGUCGCGUGAGGGAAUAAGGCCCUAUGGGUCGUAAACCUCUUUUGUCAGGGAGCAAAGGCGUCCACGAGUGGACGAAAGGAGAGUACCUGAAGAAAAAGCAUCGGCUAACUCCGUGCCAGCAGCCGCGGUAAUACGGAGGAUGCGAGCGUUAUCCGGAUUUAUUGGGUUUAAAGGGUGCGCAGGCGGUCUGUUAAGUCAGCGGUCAAAGCCCGGGGCUCAACCCCGGCCCGCCGUUGAAACUGGCAGUCUCGAGUUGGAGAGAAGUAUGCGGAAUGCGCGGUGUAGCGGUGAAAUGCAUAGAUAUCGCGCAGAACUCCGAUUGCGAAGGCAGCAUGCCGGCUCCACACUGACGCUGAGGCACGAAAGCGUGGGUAUCGAACAGGAUUAGAUACCCCUGUAGUC